AGAGUUUGAUCCUGGCUCAGGAUGAACGCUGGCGGCAUGCCUAAUACAUGCAAGUCGAACGAGGGUCCUUCGGGACUCGAGUGGCGAACGGGUGAGUAACACGUAGGGAACCUGCCCGUGCGACCGGGAGAACUUUCGGAAACGGAAGCUGAUACCGGAUAGGGACAGAGACGGCAUCGACUCUGUGUUAAAGGAGCUGAAAGGCUCCGCGCACGGAUGGACCUGCGGUGCAUUAGCUGGUUGGUGAGGUAACGGCCCACCAAGGCGACGAUGCAUAGCCGGCCUGAGAGGGCGGACGGCCACACUGGGACUGAGACACGGCCCAGACUCCUACGGGAGGCAGCAGUAGGGAAUUUUCGUCAAUGGGCGCAAGCCUGAACGAGCAAUGCCGCGUGAACGAGGAAGGUCUUCGGAUCGUAAAGUUCUGUUGAAGGGGAAAAAGAGCGGAGAGAGGAAAUGCCUUCUGAUUGAUAUUACCCUUCGAGGAAGUCACGGCUAACUACGUGCCAGCAGCCGCGGUAAUACGUAGGUGGCGAGCGUUAUCCGGAAUGAUUGGGCGUAAAGGGUGCGUAGGCGGCCUGCUAAGUCUGGAGUGAAAGGUACCGGCUCAACCGGUACAGGCUCUGGAAACUGGCGGGCUAGAGAGCAGGAGAGGGCGGUGGAACUCCAUGUGUAGCGGUAAAAUGCGUAGAUAUAUGGAAGAACACCAGUGGCGAAGGCGGCCGCCUGGCCUGUUACUGACGCUGAGGCACGAAAGCGUGGGGAGCAAAUAGGAUUAGAUACCCUAGUAGUUCACGCCGUUAACGAUGAGGACCAAGUGUUGGGGAAGACCCAGUGCUGCAGUUAACGCAGUGAGUCCUCCGCCUGGGGAGUAUGCACGCAAGUGUGAAACUCAAAGGAAUUGACGGGGGCCCGCACAAGCGGUGGAGUAUGUGGUUUAAUUCGAAGCAACGUGAAGAACCUUACCAGGCCUUGACGUAGGGUGCGAAGCUAUGGAGACAUAGUGGAGGUAAACAUCCAUACAGGUGGUGCAUGGUUGUCGUCAGCUCGUGUCGUGAGAUGUUCAGUUAAGUCUGGCAACGAGCGCAACCCUCGUGAUGUGUUACCAAUAUCGAGUUAGGGACUCACAUCAGACUGCCGGUGAGAAACCGGAGGAAGGCGGGGAGGACGUCAAAUCAUCAUGCCCCUUAUGGCCUGGGCUACACACGUACUACAAUGGCGGCGACAGAGGGCAGCGAGCCUGCGAAGGCAAGCGAAUCCCCAAAAAGCCGUCCCAGUUCGGAUUGGAGUCUGCAACCCGACUCCAUGAAGUUGGAAUCGCUAGUAAUCGCGGAUCAGCAUGCCGCGGUGAAUACGUUCUCGGGCCUUGCACACACCGCCCGUC
RNAcentral lists this ribosomal RNA (1384 nucleotides) under uncultured bacterium. RNAcentral describes it as "bacterial SSU rRNA". It matches the Rfam family "Bacterial small subunit ribosomal RNA". The record is from RNAcentral.